Small nuclear RNA from Manis javanica (Malayan pangolin), 105 nucleotides. The record is from RefSeq and is a predicted model, not a curated record. NCBI's taxonomy places the organism in Eukaryota, Metazoa, Chordata, Mammalia, Pholidota, Manidae.
UGCUCACCUCAGUAGCACAUAUAUUAAAUUGGAAGGAUACAGAGAAGAUUAGCAUGGCCCCAGUGUAAGUAUAACAUGCAAAUUUGGAAAGUGUUCCAUAUUUUA